RNAcentral lists this ribosomal RNA (506 nucleotides) under uncultured bacterium. RNAcentral's name for it is "partial 16S ribosomal RNA". It matches the Rfam family "Bacterial small subunit ribosomal RNA", at positions 29 to 523 of the family's 1533-position model. The record is from RNAcentral.
AGUGAACGCUGGCGGUAGGCCUAACACAUGCAAGUCGAACGGCAGCACAGAGGAGCCUGCUCCUUAGGUGGCGAGUGGCGGACGGGUGAGGAAUACAUCGGAAUCUACUCUGUCGUGGGGGAUAACGUAGGGAAACUUACGCUAAUACCGCAUACGACCUACGGGUGAAAGCAGGGGACCUUCGGGCCUUGCGCGAUUGAAUGAGCCGAUGCCGGAUUAGCUAGUUGGCGGGGUAAAGGCCCACCAAGGCGACGAUCCGUAGCUGGUCUGAGAGGAUGAUCAGCCACACUGGAACUGAGACACGGUCCAGACUCCUACGGGAGGCAGCAGUGGGGAAUAUUGGACAAUGGGCGCAAGCCUGAUCCAGCCAUACCGCGUGGGUGAAGAAGGCCUUCGGGUUGUAAAGCCCUUUUGUUGGGAAAGAAAUCCAGCUGGCUAAUACCCGGUUGGGAUGACGGUACCCAAAGAAUAAGCACCGGCUAACUUCGUGCCAGCCGCCGCAGUAA